AUCGAUAUUUCAAAUAUCGAUACUUCAGUGCCCAAUUAUCCCCUAUUUGUAUCGAUACUUUAUCGCUCGAUAUUUCCACGUAUCGAUACUUGACCCUUGAAUAUCGAACUUUGGUAGACCUAUGUCGACCGUCCGUGGCGGUUGGCGGUGGCGCCCGUGGGCCGGCCCUUGACUAUCCUUUGUUUUUUUAUGGCCGUUGCCGUUACGUUAUCUCAGUGUCUAGAGUGUCCAAUGAAGUGAAGAACAGAAGUCUGUAGAGCUAGUUCAAGGUUCAAGUACUUCAAGUACGUAGGUACGUAGUGUACGUACUGUAACAGUAACUCUCUUACAAGAGACUGCAGUUACAAUCAAGUCUAGACUAGACUUAGAGUGUCCGUAUCCAGUAAAGUGAAGAGCAGAAUUCUGUACAGCUAGUUCAAGGUUCAAGUACGUAGGUACGUACUGUAACAGUAACUCUCUUACAAGAGACUGCAGUUACAAUCGAGAGUUAAAUCUAAGAAAAGUCCUAAGGUGAAAGAGCACAUUCCACGUUCCCAUUUCCUAACUUCUAACUUCUAACGGCGCACUAACGCACUUACUUUCUAUAAAAGUACUAAAAGUAGGCGUGCAAGUUUUCCUUUAUUUUAUUCUAUUUCCUUAUUUCUUUCAUUUUU
Temnothorax curvispinosus is the source of this 653-nucleotide long non-coding RNA. RefSeq lists it as uncharacterized. The record is from RefSeq and is a predicted model, not a curated record. NCBI's taxonomy places the organism in Eukaryota, Metazoa, Arthropoda, Insecta, Hymenoptera, Formicidae. The transcript has 3 exons.